ACCUACGGGGGGCAGCAGUGGGGAACAUUGCACAAUGGGGGAAACCCUGAUGCAGCGACGCCGCGUGAGCGAUGAAGUAUUUCGGUAUGUAAAGCUCUAUCAGCAGGGAAGAAAAUGACGGUACCUGACUAAGAAGCACCGGCUAAAUACGUGCCAGCAGCCGCGGUAAUACGUAUGGUGCAAGCGUUAUCCGGAUUUACUGGGCGUAAAGGGAGCGCAGGCGGCGCGCCAAGUCUGAUGUGAAACCCCGGGGCUCAACCCCGGGCAUGCAUUGGAAACUGGCGGGCUGGAGUGCCGGAGAGGUA
This 305-nucleotide ribosomal RNA is filed under the name uncultured bacterium. Its description in RNAcentral is "bacterial SSU rRNA". It matches the Rfam family "Bacterial small subunit ribosomal RNA", at positions 337 to 659 of the family's 1533-position model. The record is from RNAcentral.